Molecule: ribosomal RNA, 425 nt
Filed under: uncultured bacterium
Lineage: Bacteria
Description: partial 16S ribosomal RNA
Rfam family: Bacterial small subunit ribosomal RNA
Source: RNAcentral
UUGGGGAAUAUUGGGCAAUGGGGGAAACCCUGACCCAGCAACGCCGCGUGAAGGAAGAAGGUCUUCGGAUCGUAAACUUCUAUCCUUGGUGAAAAUAAUGAUGGUAGCCAAGAAGGAAGCCCCGGCUAACUACGUGCCAGCAGCCGCGGUAAUACGUAGGGGGCAAGCGUUGUCCGGAAUGAUUGGGCGUAAAGGGCGCGUAGGCGGCCUGGUAAGUCUGGAGUGAAAGUCCUGCUUUUAAGGUGGGAAUUGCUUUGGAUACUGUCGGGCUUGAGUGCAGGAGAGGUAAGUGGAAUUCCCGGUGUAGCGGUGAAAUGCGUAGAGAUCGGGAGGAACACCAGUGGCGAAGGCGACUUACUGGACUGUAACUGACGCUGAGGCGCGAAAGUGUGGGGAGCAAACAGGAUUAGAAACCCUGGUAGUCC